RNAcentral lists this ribosomal RNA (475 nucleotides) under uncultured bacterium. Its description in RNAcentral is "bacterial SSU rRNA". It matches the Rfam family "Bacterial small subunit ribosomal RNA", at positions 335 to 798 of the family's 1533-position model. The record is from RNAcentral.
ACUCCUACGGGAGGCAGCAGUGGGGAAUAUUGCACAAUGGGGGAAAGCCCAUCGAUGCAGCCAUGCCGCGUGUGUGAAGAAGGCCUUCGGGUUGUAAAGCACUUUCAGCGAGGAGGAAAGGGUGUGUGCUAAUACCAUACAUCUGUGACGUUACUCGCAGAAGAAGCACCGGCUAACUCCGUGCCAGCAGCCGCGGUAAUACGGAGGGUGCGAGCGUUAUCCGGAAUCAUUGGGUUUAAAGGGUCCGCAGGCGGACGUAUAAGUCAGUGGUGAAAGCCUACAGCUUAACUGUAGAACUGCCAUUGAUACUGUAUGUCUUGAAUUCGGUCGAAGUGGGCGGAAUGUGUCAUGUAGCGGUGAAAUGCAUAGAUAUGACACAGAACACCGAUAGCGAAGGCAGCUCACUAGGCCUGAAUUGACGCUCAGGGGACGAAAGCGUGGGGAGCGAACAGGAUUAGAUACCCUGGUAGGAUAG